RNAcentral lists this ribosomal RNA (464 nucleotides) under Klebsiella granulomatis. RNAcentral's name for it is "bacterial SSU rRNA". It matches the Rfam family "Bacterial small subunit ribosomal RNA", at positions 8 to 470 of the family's 1533-position model. Lineage: Bacteria; Pseudomonadati; Pseudomonadota; Gammaproteobacteria; Enterobacterales; Enterobacteriaceae. The record is from RNAcentral.
AGAGUUUGAUCCUGGCUCAGAUUGAACGCUGGCGGCAGGCCUAACACAUGCAAGUCGAGCGGUAGCACAGAGAGCUUGCUCUCGGGUGACGAGCGGCGGACGGGUGAGUAAUGUCUGGGAAACUGCCUGAUGGAGGGGGAUAACUACUGGAAACGGUAGCUAAUACCGCAUAACGUCGCAAGACCAAAGUGGGGGACCUUCGGGCCUCAUGCCAUCAGAUGUGCCCAGAUGGGAUUAGCUAGUAGGUGGGGUAACGGCUCACCUAGGCGACGAUCCCUAGCUGGUCUGAGAGGAUGACCAGCCACACUGGAACUGAGACACGGUCCAGACUCCUACGGGAGGCAGCAGUGGGGAAUAUUGCACAAUGGGCGCAAGCCUGAUGCAGCCAUGCCGCGUGUGUGAAGAAGGCCUUCGGGUUGUAAAGCACUUUCAGCGGGGAGGAAGGCGAUAAGGUUAAUAACCCU